GAAGUGUAGUGGUUAUCAGGUUCGCUUUACACGUGAAAGGUCUCCGGUUCGAUCCCGGACGGAACCA
Molecule: non-coding RNA, 67 nt
Organism: Trichonephila clavipes
Lineage: Eukaryota; Metazoa; Arthropoda; Arachnida; Araneae; Nephilidae
Source: the annotation of a GenBank genome assembly